RNAcentral lists this ribosomal RNA (135 nucleotides) under Propithecus coquereli (Coquerel's sifaka). The record is from RNAcentral. Lineage: Eukaryota; Metazoa; Chordata; Mammalia; Primates; Indriidae.
AUCUACGGCCAUGCUACCCUGAAUGCACCGAUCUUGUGUGGUCUCGGAAGCUGAGCAGGGUUGGGCCUGGUUAGUACUUGGAUGGGAGAAUGAACCUUGUUUUGGACAUGACUGAAGCUUCGGAUGGCAGAGCUG